ACCCAGCCAGCUGUCAAUAACUCUGCCUACUUCCUGUUUCCUGCUGCAGAGCCCGCCCACCAAGGAAGCUACAGCUGUGUUUAUCACGUCUAUGUUUUUUCUCAUAACUUGUCCUCUGAGAGCCGUCUGCUCUCCAUCACUGUCUCAGGACUCCAGUCUGAAGGCACUAACACAUCAAUGGAACCUGUCAGGUUGGUGGGAGGAGUCAGUCGCUGUGCAGGAACACUGGAGAUGAAAUAUGAAGGAGACUGGAGACCAGUAGAUGGCUUUCACUGGACCCUGAAGGAAGCAGCUGUUUUCUGUAGAGAGCUGGACUGUGGCUCUGCUUUUUCUAUGGGAUGGAGAGAGGAGUCCUCACAUAGAUCUGUGUGGUUCAUCAACACUGACUGUGUUCAGUCUGGAUCUGCUUUUAUGGAUUGUGUAACAUCAGGUUCCUCUCCCUCCAUCCUGGAUCUCACCU
Molecule: long non-coding RNA, 460 nt
Organism: Anarrhichthys ocellatus (wolf-eel)
Lineage: Eukaryota; Metazoa; Chordata; Actinopteri; Perciformes; Anarhichadidae
Exons: 3
Source: RefSeq, a predicted model, not a curated record